Molecule: RNA transcript, 712 nt
Organism: Nycticebus coucang (slow loris)
Lineage: Eukaryota; Metazoa; Chordata; Mammalia; Primates; Lorisidae
Gene name: protein MIS12 homolog
Exons: 1
Source: RefSeq, a predicted model, not a curated record
UUGGUGUGUGGUCGAAUUCAUCACCCUCAUGGUUGCUACGAUUUUUCACAAUAAAAAAUAACAUAGCAAAAUAAACCAAGAUGUCUGUUGAUCCAAUGACCUAUGAGGCCCAGUUCUUUGGGUUCACCCCACAGACAUGCAUGCUCAGGAUCUAUAUUGCAUUUCAAGACUACCUAUUCAAGGUGAUGUAGGCUGUUGAACAGGUUAUUCUGAAGAAGUUGGAUGGCAUCCCAGACUGUGAGAUCAGCCCAGUCCAAGUUCACAAAUGCACAGAAAAGUUCUUAGCUUCAUGAAAGGACGUUUUGAUAACCUUUUUGGUAAAAUGGAGCAGCUGUUUUUGCAGUUGAUUUUGUGGAUUCCCCCAAACAUCUUGCUUCCUGAAGAUAAAUGUAAGGAGAUACAUCCUUAUAAUGAGGAAGAAUUUCAACAUCUCCAGAAAGAAAUUGACCAGUUACAGGAGAAGUAUAAGACUGAAUUAUGUACUAAGCAGGCCCUUCUUGCAGAAUUAGAAGAGCAAAAAAUUGUUCAGGCCAAACUCAAACAGACAUUGGCUUUGUUCGAUGAGCUUCAAAAUGUUGGCAGAGAUCAUGGUACUAGUGACUUUAGGGACAGUUUGGUGUCCCUGGUUCAGAACUCCAGAAAACUACACAACAUUACAGACAAUGUGGAAAAGGAAAGCAAAAGACUGAAAACAUCAUAAUUUUUAAAUAAU